This 173-nucleotide unclassified non-coding RNA is filed under the name uncultured Cladophialophora. Its description in RNAcentral is "sequence contains ITS2". Lineage: Eukaryota; Fungi; Ascomycota; Eurotiomycetes; Chaetothyriales; Herpotrichiellaceae. The record is from RNAcentral.
UCGCCCCUCAAGCCCCGUGCUUGGUGUUGGACGGCCGGUCGAGCGAUCGACCCCUCCUAAAGACAAUGACGGCGGCCUGUGGUUCCCCCGGUACACUGAGCUUUCCACGGAGCACGUAUCGGACAAGGGCACCCGGGACCCGGUCCUCUCCUUUCACAUAAGGAAACUUCUAU